Molecule: ribosomal RNA, 419 nt
Filed under: uncultured bacterium
Lineage: Bacteria
Description: bacterial SSU rRNA
Rfam family: Bacterial small subunit ribosomal RNA
Source: RNAcentral
AACGAACGCUGGCGGCGCGCUUAACACAUGCAAGUCGAACGAGAAGGCGUAGCAAUGCGCUUGUAAAGUGGCGAACGGGUGAGGAAUACAUGGGUAACCUACCCUCGAGUGGGGGAUAACCCGCCGAAAGGCGGGCUAAUACCGCGUACGCUUCCGAUCUCGCGGGAUCGGAAGGAAAGCUGUUCCAAGGGGAUGGCGCUCAAGGAUGGGCUCAUGUCCUAUCAGCUUGUUGGUAGGGAACGGCCUACCAAGGCAUCGACGGGUAGCUGGUCUGAGAGGACGAUCAGCCACACUGGCACUGCGACACGGGCCAGACUCCUACGGGAGGCAGCAGUGAGGAAUAUUGCGCAAUGGGCGAAAGCCUGACGCAGCGACGCCGCGUGGGGGAUGAAGGUCUUCGGAUUGUAAACCCCUUUCGG